AGCAGCCGCGGUAAUUCCAGCUCCAAUAGCGUAUAUUAAAGUUGCUGCAGUUAAGAAGCUCGUAGUUGAAUUUCGGGACCAAUAUGUCGGUCGUGCCUCGGUACGCACUGGCAUUAUUGGUUCCUACCUUCUGAAGAACCGCGAUGUCAUUAAUUUGGUGUCGCGGGGAAUCAGGACUGUUACUUUGAAAAAUUAGAGUGUUUAAAGCAGGCUCACGCUUGAAUACAUUAGCAUGGAAUAAUGAAAUAGGACGUUUGAUUCUAUUUUGUUGGUUUCUAGGAUCGACGUAAUGAUUAAUAGGAUAGUUGGGGGCAUUAGUAUUCAAUUGUCAGAGGUGAAAUUCUUGGAUUUAUUGAAGACUAACUACUGCGAAAGCAUUUGCCAA
This 385-nucleotide ribosomal RNA is filed under the name uncultured Glomeromycotina. RNAcentral's name for it is "SSU rRNA". It matches the Rfam family "Eukaryotic small subunit ribosomal RNA", at positions 569 to 961 of the family's 1831-position model. The record is from RNAcentral. Lineage: Eukaryota; Fungi; Glomeromycota.